CCCCCUCGAAAGUAUCUUCUCCAAGAAAAACUGGAGCAGGUGUAUCCAGAAUGUAGGAAACUUUCUUCUAAAUGAGAACAAUUUUCAAGUUCCAUAACCAGUCGACAUAGUUGGGUCCAGUCAACUUAUUUGCAUCUAGGAUACCUCUAAGUGAAAGUGAGGAUGUCAUGUGUGUAGUUAAUCUACAACAACAAGAACAUAAUAUAAGCAGACUACUCAUGA
Molecule: long non-coding RNA, 222 nt
Filed under: Elaeis guineensis (African oil palm)
Lineage: Eukaryota; Viridiplantae; Streptophyta; Magnoliopsida; Arecales; Arecaceae
Description: long non-coding RNA (EGUI_LNC055913)
Source: RNAcentral